GAUGAGCGCUGGUGGCGUGCUUAACACAUGCAAGUCGAACGAAGCACCUUGGACAGAUUCUUCGGAUGAAGUCUUUGGCGACUGAGUGGCGGACGGGUGAGUAACGCGUGGGUAACCUGCCUCAUACAGGGGGAUAACAGUUAGAAAUGGCUGCUAAUACCGCAUAAGCGCACGGUACUGCAUGGUAACAGUGUGAAAAACUCCGGUGGUAUGAGAUGGACCCCGCGUUGGAUUAGCUAGUUGCAGGGUACGCCUACCAAGCGACGAUCCAUAGCCGGCCUGAGAGGGUGGACAGCCACAUUGGGACUGAGAC
Molecule: ribosomal RNA, 313 nt
Filed under: uncultured bacterium
Lineage: Bacteria
Description: bacterial SSU rRNA
Rfam family: Bacterial small subunit ribosomal RNA
Source: RNAcentral